UACAGGGGGUGCAAACGUUGCUCGGAAUUAUUGGGCGUAAAGAGCGUGUAGGCGGCCUGGUAGGUCAGCUGUGAAAACUCGAGGCUCAACCUCGAGACGCCGGUUGAAACCAUCAGGCUAGAGUCCGGAAGAGGAGAGUGGAAUUCCCGGUGUAGCGGUGAAAUGCGCAGAUAUCGGGAAGAACACCCGUGGCUAAGGCGGCUCUCUAGUACGGUACUGACGCUGAGACGCGAAAGCGUGGGGAGCGAACAGG
This 253-nucleotide ribosomal RNA is filed under the name uncultured bacterium. RNAcentral's name for it is "partial 16S ribosomal RNA". It matches the Rfam family "Bacterial small subunit ribosomal RNA", at positions 524 to 776 of the family's 1533-position model. The record is from RNAcentral.